GCCUCAGUAACGGCGAGUGAAGCGGCAACAGCUCAAAUUUGAAAUCUGGCGCAAGCCCGAGUUGUAAUUUGUAGAGGAUGCUUCUGGGUCGCGGCCGGUCUAAGUUCCUUGGAACAGGACGUCACAGAGGGUGAGAAUCCCGUAUGUGAUCGGCUUGCACCCUCCACGUAGCUCCUUCGACGAGUCGAGUUGUUUGGGAAUGCAGCUCUAAAUGGGAGGUAAAUGUCUUCUAAAGCUAAAUACCGGCCAGAGACCGAUAGCGCACAAGUAGAGUGAUCGAAAGAUGAAAAGCACUUUGGAAAGAGAGUUAAAAAGCACGUGAAAUUGUUGAAAGGGAAGCGCAUGCAACCAGACUUGUCGGCGGUGUUCCGCCGGUCUUCUGACCGGUCUACUCGCCGCCGACAGGCCAGCAUCGUCUGGGCGCGCCGGAGAAAGGCGCCGGGAAUGUAGCUCCUCGGAGUGUUAUAGCCCGGCGCACAAUACGGCGCCGCCCGGGCGAGGUCCGCGCUUCGGCUAGGAUGCUGGCGUAAUGGUUGCCUGCGACCCGUCUUGAAACACGGACCAAGGAGUCGACCAUCUGUGCGAGUGUUCGGGUGUCAAACCCCUACGCGUAAUGAAAGUGAACGGAGGUGGGAACGCAAGUGCACCAUCGACCGAUCCUGAUGUCCUCGGAUGGAUUUGAGUAAGAGCAUAGCUGGUCGGACCCGAAAGAUGGUGAACUAUGCCUGAAUAGGGUGAAGCCAGAGGAAACUCUGGUG
This 758-nucleotide ribosomal RNA is filed under the name Devriesia thermodurans. RNAcentral's name for it is "eukaryotic LSU rRNA". It matches the Rfam family "Eukaryotic large subunit ribosomal RNA", at positions 77 to 869 of the family's 3401-position model. The record is from RNAcentral. Lineage: Eukaryota; Fungi; Ascomycota; Dothideomycetes; Mycosphaerellales; Teratosphaeriaceae.